GAUGAACGCUGGCGGCGUGCUUAACACAUGCAAGUCGAACGGUAACGCAGUGCUUGCUUGGUGUUCCAGUGGGGGACUGGGGUGAGACACAUGAGCAUACCGCGCCCUACUCUUUGGUAAGCGCUAAGGAAGGUGGCGAUAACAUGAUAUGGGAUCCGACCUCGUGGUGAGGGGGUGGGAACAUUUUGCGGUCUGGGAUGGGCUCCCGGCCUAUCAGCUUGUUGGUGGGGUAAUGGCUCACCAAGGCGUCGACGGGUAGCCGGCCUGGGAGGGUGGCCGGCCACAAUGGGACUGAGACACGGCCCAGACUCCUACGGGAGGCAGCAGUGGGGAAUAUUGCACAAUGGGCGCAAGCCUGAUGCAGCAACGCCGCGUGUGGGAUGACGGCCUUCGGGGUGUAAACCGCUUUCGGCUGUGACGAAGCGUUAGUGACGGUACCCGAAGAAGAAGCACCGGCUAACUACGUG
Molecule: ribosomal RNA, 467 nt
Filed under: uncultured bacterium
Lineage: Bacteria
Description: partial 16S ribosomal RNA
Rfam family: Bacterial small subunit ribosomal RNA
Source: RNAcentral